This 497-nucleotide ribosomal RNA is filed under the name uncultured bacterium. Its description in RNAcentral is "partial 16S ribosomal RNA". It matches the Rfam family "Bacterial small subunit ribosomal RNA", at positions 28 to 507 of the family's 1533-position model. The record is from RNAcentral.
GACGAACGCUGGCGGCGUGCCUAAUACAUGCAAGUAGAACGCUGAGGAGAGGAGCUUGCUCUUCUUGGGUGAGUUGCGAACGGGUGAGUAACGCGUAGAUAACCUGCCUUGUAGCGGGGGAUCACUAUUGGAAACGGUAGCUAAUACCGCAUAACAUUGUGUGACACAUGGCAUUUUGUUAAAAGGGGGCGUUGCUGCACUACAUGAUGGACUUUCGUUUGAUUAGCUAGUAGGUGAGGUAAUGGGUCACCUAGGCGAGGAUAUAUAGCCCACCUGAGAGGGGGAGUGGCCACACUGGGACGGAGACACGGCCCAUACUGCCAGAGGAGGCAGCAGUAGGGAAACGUCAGGCAUGGGGGGAAAACUUACCGCGCAAGGCCGAGUGCGGGUAGAAGGGUGUCGGAUCCUAAAGAUCGGUUUUAAGUCAAGAACCGGCUUGAGACUGGAAAGUUCACACUGUGACGGUAGCUGAUCAGAAAGCGACGGCUAACUACGUG